Molecule: ribosomal RNA, 441 nt
Filed under: uncultured bacterium
Lineage: Bacteria
Description: partial 16S ribosomal RNA
Rfam family: Bacterial small subunit ribosomal RNA
Source: RNAcentral
CCUACGGGAGGCAGCAGUGGGGGAUAUUGCACAAUGGGGGGAACCCUGAUGCAGCGACGCCGCGUGGGUGAAGGAGUGCUUCGGCAUGUAAAGCCCUAUCGGCAGGGAAGAAGCAAGACGGUACCUGACUAAGAAGCCCCGGCUAACUACGUGCCAGCAGCCGCGGUAAUACGUAGGGGGCGAGCGUUAUCCGGAUGCACUGGGUGUAAAGGGAGCGUAGACGGCCAUGCAAGCCAGGGGUGAAAGCCCGGGGCCCAACCCCGGGACUGCCCUUGGAACUGUGCGGCUAGAGUGCGGGAGGGGCAGGCGGAAUUCCUGGUGUAGCGGUGAAAUGCGUAGAUAUCAGGAGGAACACCGGCGGCGAAGGCGGCCUGCUGGACUGCGACUGACGUUGAGGCUCGAAAGCGUGGGGAGCGAACAGGAUUAGAUACCCGGGUAGUC